GUCAGUGUGUCCGAGUUGGUCUAAGGAGUCAGACUCAAGCGAAUAGCUUCUGAGAUUUCUUAUUCUCAGUUCUGAGUGUUCUGAUCCUCUUCUUGAGGGCGUGGGUUCGAAUCCCACCGCUGACA
RNAcentral lists this transfer RNA (125 nucleotides) under Clunio marinus. It matches the Rfam family "tRNA". From Rfam's summary of the family: Transfer RNA (tRNA) molecules are approximately 80 nucleotides in length. Lineage: Eukaryota; Metazoa; Arthropoda; Insecta; Diptera; Chironomidae. The record is from Rfam by way of RNAcentral.